This 211-nucleotide long non-coding RNA is filed under the name Lathyrus oleraceus (garden pea). RNAcentral describes it as "Pisum sativum (pea) long non-coding RNA (PSAT_LNC005417)". Lineage: Eukaryota; Viridiplantae; Streptophyta; Magnoliopsida; Fabales; Fabaceae. The record is from RNAcentral.
AGCUAUCCUCACAUGGUGGAUUGUGGUUUUUAGGUUGAGUUUUCUCCCUUUGAUAACAAAAGACCUUAAGGCUUUUGACCAAUCAAUUCACCAACUUCUUUUGAGAUUUUUUACCGCGAACUAUGAGGUUUUGAUCCUACCUUUGUGAUGGUACGUAGGCAAUAGGUUUAUCCAUUCAAACAAAAUUGUAAAUAACUUGUAUAUUCUUUUC